UCUUCAUUCCGCAUCCUCUCUCACCGGUCAGAUUGACGAGAGAGUGUGUAAAAUGAAGAGA
Molecule: microRNA precursor, 61 nt
Filed under: Pristionchus pacificus
Lineage: Eukaryota; Metazoa; Nematoda; Chromadorea; Rhabditida; Neodiplogasteridae
Description: mir-8364 microRNA precursor family
Rfam family: mir-8364 microRNA precursor family
Source: Rfam by way of RNAcentral